GACGAACGCUGGCGGCGUGCCUAAUACAUGCAAGUCGAGCGGACGAAUCGAAAGCUUGCUUUUGAUUCGUUAGCGGCGGACGGGUGAGUAACACGUGGGCAACCUGCCCUGUAGACGGGGAUAACACCGAGAAAUCGGUGCUAAUACCGGAUAACACGAAAUGUCGCAUGACGUUUCGUUGAAAGACGGCGCAAGCUGUCGCUACAGGAUGGGCCCGCGGCGCAUUAGCUAGUUGGUGGGGUAACGGCUCACCAAGGCGACGAUGCGUAGCCGACCUGAGAGGGUGAUCGGCCACACUGGGACUGAGACACGGCCCAGACUCCUACGGGAGGCAGCAGUAGGGAAUCGUCCGCAAUGGACGAAAGUCUGACGGAGCAACGCCGCGUGAGCGAAGAAGGCCUUCGGGUCGUAAAGCUCUGUUGUUAGGGAAGAACAAGUAACGCAGUAACUGGCGUUACCGUGACGGUACCUAACGAGAAAGCCACGGCUAACUACGUG
Molecule: ribosomal RNA, 498 nt
Filed under: uncultured bacterium
Lineage: Bacteria
Description: partial 16S ribosomal RNA
Rfam family: Bacterial small subunit ribosomal RNA
Source: RNAcentral